Molecule: ribosomal RNA, 1290 nt
Filed under: Triticum aestivum (bread wheat)
Lineage: Eukaryota; Viridiplantae; Streptophyta; Magnoliopsida; Poales; Poaceae
Description: partial small subunit ribosomal RNA
Source: RNAcentral
AUGGCCGCCGCGGCCACCGCCUGCUUCCUCUCCGGCCCCUCCCCGCUCGCCCGCCCGCUGUCGCGCCCGCGCCAUUCCCUCAGGCGCCUCGCGCGCGCCGCGGCCGCCAGGCCCCCGGCCGGCCCCCUCGCGCUCCCGGCCUCGCCACGGAGGCCGCUGCGCGACCUGGUGCCGGGCCCCGUCGCCGAGGCCGCGCGGCGGGCGCUGGCGGCCGCCGCGGGGCCCCUGGUCGUGGCGCUCGCCUCCGCCGCGCUGGUCCUCGGGGACGCCGGGGCCGCGUCCGCGUUCGUCGUCGCCACGCCGCGGAAGCUGCAGGCCGACGAGCUCGCCACCGUGCGCCUCUUCAAGGACAACACCCCCUCCGUCGUCUACAUCACCAACCUCGCCGUCAGGCAGGACGCCUUCACGCUGGACGUGCUCGAGGUGCCGCAGGGCUCCGGCUCCGGCUUCGUCUGGGACAAGCUCGGCCACAUUGUCACCAACUUCCAUGUCAUCCGUGGCGCCUCGGACCUCAGGGUCACGCUUGCUGAUCAGUCGGUGUAUGAAGCGCAAGUUGUCGGAUUUGACCAGGACAAGGAUGUUGCAGUUUUGAGUAUCGAAGCACCAAAGGAUAAACUAAGACCUUUACCAGUUGGUGUGUCAGCAGACCUACUGGUUGGUCAGAAAGUGUAUGCCAUUGGAAACCCGUUUGGCCUUGACCACACUCUUACGACAGGUGUUAUCAGUGGACUGCGAAGAGAAAUUAGUUCAGCUGCAACUGGACGUCCUAUACAGGAUGUAAUACAGACUGAUGCUGCUAUCAACCCUGGUAACAGCGGAGGCCCACUUCUUGAUAGUUCUGGAAACCUGAUAGGUGUAAAUACUGCUAUAUACUCACCUUCAGGAGCAUCAUCUGGGGUCGGCUUCUCCAUUCCAGUUGAUACAGUUGGUGGUAUUGUGGAUCAGCUUAUACAAUUUGGGAAAGUGACGAGACCUAUUUUGGGGAUAAAAUUUGCCCCUGACCAAUCUGUGGAGCAGCUUGGAUUGAGUGGAGUGCUUGUCUUGGAUGCUCCCCCAAACGGGCCAGCUGGCAAAGCGGGUCUGCAAUCAACGAAACGGGAUGCCUACGGACGACUUAUCCUUGGGGACAUAAUUACUUCUGUUAAUGGUACUAAGGUUGCGAAUGGAAGCGACCUGUACCGUAUCUUGGAUCAGUGUAAAGUCGGAGAGACGGUGACCGUGGAAGUAUUGCGCGGAGAUAAGAAGGAGAAGAUCGCUGUGGUCCUUGAACCAAAGCUCGACGAAACAUAG